UAUGGUUGUGUGCCAGCCGCCGCGGUAAUACGUAGGUGGCGAGCGUUGUCCGGAAUUAUUGGGCGUAAAGGGAGCGCAGGCGGGAGGUCAAGUCUAUCUUAAAAGUGCGGGGCUCAACCCCGUGAGGGGAUGGAAACUGGUCUUCUUGAGUGCAGGAGAGGAAAGCGGAAUUCCUAGUGUAGCGGUGAAAUGCGUAGAUAUUAGGAGGAACACCAGUGGCGAAGGCGGCUUUCUGGACUGUAACUGACGCUGAGGCUCGAAAGCGUGGGGAGCGAACAGG
Molecule: ribosomal RNA, 280 nt
Filed under: Mitsuokella multacida DSM 20544
Lineage: Bacteria; Bacillati; Bacillota; Negativicutes; Selenomonadales; Selenomonadaceae
Description: partial 16S ribosomal RNA
Rfam family: Bacterial small subunit ribosomal RNA
Source: RNAcentral